This 465-nucleotide ribosomal RNA is filed under the name uncultured bacterium. Its description in RNAcentral is "partial 16S ribosomal RNA". It matches the Rfam family "Bacterial small subunit ribosomal RNA", at positions 338 to 795 of the family's 1533-position model. The record is from RNAcentral.
CCUACGGGAGGCAGCAGUGGGGAAUAUUGCGCAAUGGGCGAAAGCCUGACGCAGCGACGCCGCGUGAGGGAUGAAGGUCUUCGGAUCGUAAACCUCUGUCAGCAGGGAAGAACGGUCACUGUGCUAAUCAGCAGUGAAUUGACGGUACCUGCAAAGUAAGCACCGGCUAACUCGGGGCCAGCAGCCGCGGUAAUCCGGAGGGUGCGAGCGUUAAUCGGAAUUACGGGGCGUAAAGCGCUCGUAGGCGGUAUUGCAAGUCAAGGGUGAAAUCCCCGCGCUCAACGUGGGAACUGCCUUUGAAACUGGCAAACUGGAGUGUGUGAGAGGAUAGUGGAAUUCCAGGUGUAGGAGUGAAAUCCGUAGAUAUCUGGAGGAACAUCAGUGGCGAAGGCGACUAUCUGGCACAUAACUGACGCUGAGGAGCGAAAGCGUGGGUAGCAAACAGGAUUAGAUACCCCUGUAGUC